RNAcentral lists this long non-coding RNA (367 nucleotides) under Dermacentor andersoni. Its description in RNAcentral is "uncharacterized LOC126544679". Lineage: Eukaryota; Metazoa; Arthropoda; Arachnida; Ixodida; Ixodidae. The record is from RNAcentral.
GCUUCCGUUCUUGAAGACCGCUAGACUCUUCUCACGAAGAAUGCGUCUUUUAGUUUCCUUAAUCACGGCUUGGUAUGAUGGUUUCUUCCACGAACAUGCUGUCACAAUAAGCUUAUCCUCCUUUCAGACAAGGAUGCCUGUCUACGUGGGUCACAUUCCCACCGGAUCGACCUAUCAAAACUUUCUGCAUUAUCAUCAGAUUUACGAGGCGAAAAACCUGGUGAUGUUCGACUACGGAACGGUCAAAAAUCGUCGCCUAUAUGGCCAGGCAAAGCCACCACCGUACCCGUUGGAGCGCAUAAGAGUGCCAAUUGCUUUGUUCCCUGCACCAGGAGACACGGUGGCGACCUCAGCCGACGUCUCAGAC